GACGAACGCUGGCGGCGUGCUUAACACAUGCAAGUCGAACGGUGAAGCGCCUUCCUUUUUGGUGGGUGUGGAUGAGUGGCGAACGGGUGAGUAACACGUGAGUAACCUGCCCCCUUCUUCUGGAUAACCGCAUGAAAGUGUGGCUAAUACGGGAUAUUCUGGGUCUGUCGCAUGAUGGGUCUGGGAAAGAUAUUGUUUCGGUGGGGGAUGGGCUCGCGGCCUAUCAGCUUGUUGGUGGGGUGAUGGCCUACCAAGGCGGUGACGGGUAGCCGGCCUGAGAGGGUGGACGGUCACACUGGGACUGAGACACGGCCCAGACUGCUACGGGAGGCAGCAGUGGGGAAUAGUGCACAAUGGGCGCAAGCCUGAUGCAGCGACGCCGCGUGAGGGAUGGAGGCCUUCGGGUUGUGAACCUCUUUUGCCAGUGAAGCAGGCCUGCCUCGUUUGUGGGUGGGUUGACGGUAGCUGGAUAAGAAGCGCCGGCUAACUACGUG
This 494-nucleotide ribosomal RNA is filed under the name uncultured bacterium. Its description in RNAcentral is "partial 16S ribosomal RNA". It matches the Rfam family "Bacterial small subunit ribosomal RNA", at positions 28 to 507 of the family's 1533-position model. The record is from RNAcentral.